UUUUAAAAUCAUCCAUUUGCAUAUUAAAAAUUGUUGUGGUUGACGGAAUAACCAGACAAUGACAUGUGACAUGCCACGUGUACCUCAUGCUGACGUACAAUGACCAAUUUUUAACAGCAAAAAUGGAUGAAAUUUUUAACA
This 141-nucleotide microRNA precursor is filed under the name Gossypium hirsutum (cotton). RNAcentral describes it as "MIR7502 microRNA precursor family". It matches the Rfam family "MIR7502 microRNA precursor family". Lineage: Eukaryota; Viridiplantae; Streptophyta; Magnoliopsida; Malvales; Malvaceae. The record is from Rfam by way of RNAcentral.